UGCUUUCAACCAGGAAGUUCAAGGGAGGCAGGACUUUACGGUCAAAACUGCAAAGCCGAAGCUCAAGACUGUAAGAAGAAAGUGAUCUUCAAAGAAAAGGAUUCACCCAAAUCGAAGAGGAUAUCGUUUCGCAUCAGGGACACUCGUCUCCACACCUCCUACCUCAAAGUCCUACGCACCUACCCUUCACGUCUCUCCAAAGCAACUGAAUUAAAGCGCCUACUGGCCUUGGCGGCGCAGGAUUUAAUCAGGACUAAUGGGAAAAAGCAAGGAGGAAGAAGAGGAAAGACCCGGCUGAGGCACCAGGAGAAGGGACGCACAUCCCAAGAUUUUGACUGAUUGGUUGUACGACUAGAGUUGCUGGAGUUCAAGUAUUUUCAUUUUAACUAUUCAACUGAAAGCAGUGCGUUACAACAGAACACGGGUUCCAAAGAAUUUACUGAGAAGAAGCAAAGUAAUACUUGGGAGAACUGUUGAACAGUUCAGCUUUCAUGCUGGUAGGAGGUUAAUACACAGGCAUCUCAUGAAAAUCAUCCAACAUAUAGAAGAAUAUAUAGAAUAAAGCAAAAAUCAUCAGAAACUCCACCGUCUUGGAUGACCAUAGUUGAUAUUCUGGAUGGCUUCUGUUCCGAUUGAACCUUGACUGAUGUAGCACCUAUCACCAAAUUGCUGUUCAGGAAAUAUGUCCUAAAGAAACUCCCAACAGCAGCAAUACAUCAGAGUGGCACCUCUUUACACUGGUUCUUGGUAGGUACUGU
Molecule: long non-coding RNA, 758 nt
Filed under: Homo sapiens (human)
Lineage: Eukaryota; Metazoa; Chordata; Mammalia; Primates; Hominidae
Description: HSALNT0142580
Source: RNAcentral